UCUAAAAUUGAAAGUUGAAUCUCAUGGUGAAAAAUUUCCAGAUCUUAAAGUUGUAGACAAAUUCGUAUACAUACGAACGGAUCCAUCAACAGGAGAUAAUCUUCAAGAUUCUCAUUGUUGGAAGCUUUGGGUACCGGAGAGACUGCGAGAAGCUGUGAUUUGUCAAGCACAUGAUAGUCUAAGCUCUGCACAUGGUGAAAUGCAAAAGACGAUCGAAAGAGUGCGUCGUAAUUUAUUUUGGCCAGGUUUAUCAAAAGACAUUAGAGACUAUAUUAGGCAGUGUGAUAUGUGUAAGCAAACUAAAGCUUCAAAUAUGACACUACGUCCGCCUAUGGGAGAGCAAAGCGUCUCUAGUCGACCAUUUCAAAAGCUUUAUAUAGAUAUCUUGGGUCCUUAUCCACGAAGUCGCAAAGGAAACAUUGGUUUACAAAUAGUUCUUGACCAUUUUAGUCGCUACCAUUGGCUAUGUCCAUUGAAAAAGUUCACUACGUCGUUAAUAACUGAGUUUUUGUCACAAAGGAUCUUUGCCGAAUUUGGAGUUCCUGAAAUUAUAGUAUCAGAUAAUGGUUCACAAUUUAAAUCAAACGAAUUUGAAGCGUUUAUGACAAAAUUCGGUAUUCGUCAUGUUUUUACUGCAUUAUAUUCGCCUCAGAGCAAUGCAGCGGAGCGAGUGAAUCGUUCCUUAUUAGCCGCUAUUCGUGCUUAUCUUAAGUCGGAUCAAACUGAAUGGGAUAUGUAUUUGCCAAGUAUUUCAUCUGCCUUACGUUCGUCGCUUCAUCAAUCCAUAGGUUGUUCCCCUUACAAAGCAUUAUUUGGAGUAAAUAUGAUUAAUCACGGAGAUGAUUACAAGCUCUUAAAAAAAUUGUCUUUGCUGGAGGAGUCUCCAUAUUUAGAAAGAGGUGAUCAAUUAGCUUUGUUGCGAGAAGACAUUAAGAAAAGUAGUAGAGAAGCCUACGAGCGUAACGCCAGACAAUACAAUCUUCGAUCCAAUCCUGUCAUUUAUAAAGAAGGCCAAGAAGUAUUUAAACGGAAUUUCCAUCUUAGUGAUUUCAGUCAGAAUUAUAAUAAAAAGCUAGGACAUCAGUUCUCAAAAUGUCGGAUAAAGAAGAAAAUUGGUAAUUCUUUUUAUCUACUAGAAAAUCUACAAGGUAGAGAAUUAGGAGUGUAUCAUGCGAAAGAUAUUCGAAUCUAAUUCCCAUCUAAUCUGCCUUUGUAUGACUCGUGAGAUUAUCUGGUGGGUGUAAUGGUCGCAAAUAAAAAAAUUGGGCGUAAAAUCUCUUUCUUCUUGAGAUUUUAAAUUUGCCGCGCAAAGUUAUCGAAGACACAAACCAUGGCACGAUAAAGGGACAAUACACCUCUGCCAAUUAAAUUUCCUCUCCGUGGUGAAUUGUCUAGCGAAAGAUCGUAGGAGAAGGAGGCGAGCUUUGUCACUUUGGCAACGACAGCUCUCAUUCUUUUCUUAUUGGACUACGAUCAGAGACGGAUGCAUUCUGGGUUGAUGCUGUUUAAAAAAAAAAAAAAUUUUAAACACAUGCAUCACCAGAAAAGAAGAAAUACAUAAUCUGUUAUUAUCAUCAGCAUCCAUCGAUGCUUUUUUGCCUUGAGCAAAAUAGAUACACCAGCUCGUUACGCUUGCUACGUAAAGAUUGUGAAAAUUCGUCUAAGCCGUCAUUAUUUUCUAAUUAAAUAAUACGGAUAGACAAAAUUCUACACCUAUAGUGGAUUUGAAUUCCACAAUUCCGGCGCAUGUUAGUCAGCGGAGGCCGACUAUUUCGUGCCGGAAGCCUUUUUAUAUUUCUGGUCUGCCGCCUGCAGAACCAAAAAAACAACAACAGUGAAGUGCAGUGCAUCUCUGGGCAGAUCACUCUUGCACCACUGUGCCGAGCCGCGCAAGGCUCUUGUACCAGAAUCGUCACUUCUCUCGUUUGCCGCUUCUAUCGUUCGCCGUCUCCACUCAGCAGCAGCAGCAUCAGCAGCAGUGCAGUGCCAGUGCCAGUGCUAGUGAAGAUGUGUAGUGCAAGUUUGUGAAUAAUAGUAUGACAAAAAAUAAGUUUGUUAAAAUUAAAAGGUCAUACAAUAGUUGUACACAGAGGCAAUAGUAAAAGGGGUAAAAGCCCAAAUAAAAAGCAAAAAGAUUUGCAUUUGCCGUCAAUAUAUUAAAACAAUUUAGUUGCCAUACAUAUAAAAUAAUAAGUAACGAAAAAGAUAACGAAAAGUAAAGAGAAAUAUCAAUUGUAAUUUGGCACUUAUUUUUUUUUGCGCUAUUUUUUUUGGUUUGCUUUGCUUUGUUGGCCAUUAUUGCCCUAGGCCUUAAAGGGUAUAUCCAACGUGAAACACAAUAAUUAAAAAAAAUAUAUAUAAAUAAAUAAAUAAUGCAAAUAUAAUCUCAUACAUAAUAACAAGCCACCAUAAAACCCUGUGCAAAACAAUAAUAAUUAUAACAAUGUGUGUGUAUGUGAACAACCAAACAAAAGAAUAUACCCUAUAAGGUAUAUAAACAAUCAUUUUUAUCAUCAUCAUUAAAAUCAUCAUCAUCAUCAACAUCAUCAUCACCAACAGCAACAACAUCAUGAAGGCCUUCGUCGUGGAGUUCUGUCGGGUAAGUUUUCAGUCCGAGUGUCCGAAAUAAAAAUACAUAAAAGAAGUUUUAUAACAUAAAUAUUCGUACAUAUGUAAUUACAUACAUACAUACAUACAUAUGUUGGUGCCUGUUCGGCCACGCAGCAGCUGCCCACAGUUUUGCUGGCAUUGUAUUUUUCAUACUUCUUCGCAGUUGCGAAAGCUCCCAAACAGCAUAUGAGCUGUCGGCUGAUACCCUAACUUUUGGGUCAGGCCUAUACCUUUUUAGUACUGAUUUGCUUCCGCCUAUAUUGUUACUAUUAUUAUUGUUUGUUGGUACAGCACAGUGGUUUAAACAUGAUUUACAAUUAAAUAAAU
This is a long non-coding RNA of Drosophila sulfurigaster albostrigata, 2937 nucleotides long. RefSeq lists it as uncharacterized. The transcript has 2 exons. The record is from RefSeq and is a predicted model, not a curated record. NCBI's taxonomy places the organism in Eukaryota, Metazoa, Arthropoda, Insecta, Diptera, Drosophilidae.